RNAcentral lists this long non-coding RNA (268 nucleotides) under Glycine max (soybean). RNAcentral's name for it is "long non-coding RNA (GMAX_LNC000421)". The record is from RNAcentral. Lineage: Eukaryota; Viridiplantae; Streptophyta; Magnoliopsida; Fabales; Fabaceae.
GAGGAGGCUUUGACAACGAAGGAGCGGCGAGAGUGAGAAGGGCGCGUGAGGGAGAGAGAAGGGCGCGUGAGGGAGGGAGAAGGGCGCGUGGGGAGAGGGUUAAGGUGGAGGGAGAGAGAGGGUUUGGGAGAGAAGAGGGGUGUUGGGUUUGCGGAGAAGAGGGAAGCAGAGGUGGCUGAGCAUGCCAUUGGUGUGGGAUUGGGAUAUUCGCUUGCUCGCUCACUCUGCGAGAAGGAGAGGUUCAAAUGGGAUGGGAAUAGGAUUGGGU